RNAcentral lists this long non-coding RNA (517 nucleotides) under Monodelphis domestica (gray short-tailed opossum). RNAcentral's name for it is "lncRNA (ENSMODG00000043299.1)". The record is from RNAcentral. Lineage: Eukaryota; Metazoa; Chordata; Mammalia; Didelphimorphia; Didelphidae.
ACCUUAUCAUCUCUGUGGAUGUCUCUGGAAAGGAGGCUGCCAGGGUUUCUGCCACACUUCUUGGUAUCUUUGGGGGGAAAUGGUAAAUUAAAUUCAAUGAGGGAUUUGAAUAGCUCAGGAGACAAUUUCUGAUCAGACCACCACCUUUGCUCUUUCAAGAUAGAGAGAGAUCAACUGCCUCCCACCUGGAAUCUCUCUUCCCUCAAGAUUCCAAGCCUCCUCAACCAUUGCCCACUGUGGAUGGAAACCUUUGCAUAUCUUCCAGGCUCUGUCCUUCACAGUCUCUGGAUUAUUCCUCUAUCACAAUCAUCAUCACAUUCCCUGCAGCCUUCCCUUUGCCCCUCUCAGAGAACCAUCCCAUGAACAAGACACAGCUUUUGGAGAGAGGAAUAAGUCAGUAGAACUGAUUGAUAUAUUUUUUUAAAAGUCUGAAAAUGGGUACAAUGUAUAACAUCUGUCAACCUCCUACCUCCAAGUAGGGGGAUGAUGUGGUUAUCUUCAGAUCUCUUUAUUUGAG